UAGGGAAUCUUCCACAAUGGGCGCAAGCCUGAUGGAGCAACGCCGCGUGUGUGAUGAAGGGUUUCGGCUCGUAAAACUCUGUUGUAAGAGAAGAACGUGUGUGAGAGUGGAAAGUUCACACAGUGACGGUAACUUACCAGAAAGGGACGGCUAACUACGUGCCAA
Molecule: ribosomal RNA, 165 nt
Filed under: uncultured bacterium
Lineage: Bacteria
Description: partial 16S rRNA
Rfam family: Bacterial small subunit ribosomal RNA
Source: RNAcentral